ACCUACGCGGGGCAGCAGUGAGGAAUAUUGGUCAAUGGGCGGGAGCCUGAACCAGCCAAGUCGCGUGAGGGAAGACGGUCCUAUGGAUUGUAAACCUCUUUUGUCGGGGAGCAAAGAGAUCACGUGUGGUCACCCUCCAGCUCCCCACCCUCCCCCUCCUCUGGCCACUCCGUGCCAGCAGCCGCGGUAAUACGGAGGAUGCGAGCGUUAUCCGGAUUUAUUGGGUUUAAAGGGUGCGUAGGCGGGACGGUAAGUCAGCGGUAAAAAUGCGGAGCUCAACUCCGUCGAGCCGUU
This 294-nucleotide ribosomal RNA is filed under the name uncultured bacterium. Its description in RNAcentral is "partial 16S ribosomal RNA". It matches the Rfam family "Bacterial small subunit ribosomal RNA", at positions 337 to 628 of the family's 1533-position model. The record is from RNAcentral.